RNAcentral lists this long non-coding RNA (298 nucleotides) under Cervus hanglu yarkandensis (Yarkand deer). Its description in RNAcentral is "lncRNA (ENSCHYG00000016739.1)". The record is from RNAcentral. Lineage: Eukaryota; Metazoa; Chordata; Mammalia; Artiodactyla; Cervidae.
UGGACUUCCAGUCUCCAGAGCUAGGAGGAAAUAUUUACACCAUCCAGGCUGUGGCACUUUGUCACGGCAGCCACAGCAAACUGAUACAGAAGGGAACUGGCCCGGCGGGCAAGGAGGACAGCUUUGCUAAGGGAUACCUACAGGAGACCAGCGCUACGGAGCUAUGACCAGAGCUGUUUGGACUUAUGGGUUGACUUUACUGAUAAAAGCACUUGGAAUGGGUCUGGAGUGCAGGGAUGGGGAGCCGAAGUUAACAAGAUAUGCAAGUGAAUCCUGGCCUAAGAGCUCCAGGGCCUAG